RNAcentral lists this transfer RNA (72 nucleotides) under Taenia asiatica. It matches the Rfam family "tRNA". From Rfam's summary of the family: Transfer RNA (tRNA) molecules are approximately 80 nucleotides in length. The record is from Rfam by way of RNAcentral. Lineage: Eukaryota; Metazoa; Platyhelminthes; Cestoda; Cyclophyllidea; Taeniidae.
GGCUCAGUGGUCUAGGGGUAUGAUUCGCGCUUCGGGUGCGCGAGGUCCCGGGUUCGAAUCCCGGCUGCGCCC